CCAAAGAUGGGAAACAUGGUUUGGUCUAUGGGUUCUAGCUAAAUAGGGUCUUUGCCUACUUUAGUAUUGUAUGUGGAAAAGGGAAGGCUAGUUUUGUCAAGUAGGUGUUCAACAUGACCACCUUAGAGGAUAAUGAGUGUGUUCUAGAAGAGGAGAAGGAAAAUCUAAGUUCAUUAUUUUAGAGUUGGUGGAUGUUCAAAAUAAGUUAAGGGAAGAGUUGGAUGCCAUGACAGCCCUUGUGGCCUAGA
Molecule: long non-coding RNA, 248 nt
Filed under: Capsicum annuum
Lineage: Eukaryota; Viridiplantae; Streptophyta; Magnoliopsida; Solanales; Solanaceae
Description: long non-coding RNA (CANN_LNC002315)
Source: RNAcentral